This 818-nucleotide long non-coding RNA is filed under the name Olea europaea subsp. europaea. The record is from RNAcentral. Lineage: Eukaryota; Viridiplantae; Streptophyta; Magnoliopsida; Lamiales; Oleaceae.
CCAACAUCUUAGCCUUCUUCAAUUAACUGAACAAUGGGGAGUACCAAAUAUACAAAAGGGAGUACCAAAUAUACAAACAAACAACAUCUUAGCCUUCUUCAACUAACUGAACAAUUGGGAGUACCAAAUAUACAAACGGGAGUACCAAAUAUACAAACUAGGUUGUGUACACAAAUUAUCCCAGAGCAUAUACACUACAAAUGCAAGCUACAUAUACGUGAACUGGACAACAACUAAAUUCCCAAACUACAUGUCGACGUUGAGUGCCACCAUCAGCCAUUUCAAUCACACCACAAGUCCGGUGUCUAUAUCAACUUCGCUUCCGCUCGCUGAUUUUUCUUCAAGAUUACAAAUCACAAUGUGAAUGAAUCAGAUCUAAACAACGGAAAACAUAGAUCCCAAAAAUUGCAGCUUAAUCAACAAAAAACACACAAGCACUCAAAUAUAUCUCAAAAAGAUUUUAAAAAUAAAAAAGAAAAAAAGAAAUAGAUAUAACUAGUAUGUAUAAAGCAAGGAAAAUCCCGCUAAAUACGUGUAUUUGACGAAGGUACGGCGCGACAGUGAAGAUAGGGGGUUUGAAUUUUGAAUUUUGGGUCUUCUUCCUGUUCAAUUUCGAGAGAGAGAAGCUGUGAUGUUGGUAAGAGCCUUAUUGUGGUUUCAGCUAUCAGCCCGGUAUGGCGCCAAGUUCGGCGAAGGAGUGGCCUGACUGCGGAGAUGGAGGGUUUGUAUUUACAAUUCUUACGUCUUCUUUCGGUUCCAUUUUGGAGAUAGAAGAUGGGGUGGUUUUUACUGUGGUUUUCUAAUAUAUCAGCAGUGAG